Long non-coding RNA from Oncorhynchus gorbuscha (pink salmon), 2633 nucleotides. RefSeq lists it as uncharacterized. NCBI's taxonomy places the organism in Eukaryota, Metazoa, Chordata, Actinopteri, Salmoniformes, Salmonidae. The transcript is spliced from 5 exons. The record is from RefSeq and is a predicted model, not a curated record.
CUCACUCCGUGUUGGAGGCUGCAACAGGCAAGCUUAAAGGAAAACGAAAUGAACGCGUCACUCAAAGUCUGCAAACAGGGGCAAACAUCAAGCGCUGUCACAUUUAUUGUGCCUUGUACCUCCAAUGGCUAGCUAGCUCUUGUCAUAUAAGCAUCACAUGUCUGCUGUCCCUCACCGCAGCCCCAUAACGGUGUCUGGUGCGAACUAUACAGUCUAUACAGAAUUUUUUUAAAGUAAGCUUUGCUAUUUGAUAGAAAUCAUUCAUGGGCAUUUUCAAAAGUCAUCCAUGCAUGCUGGACACCAAAAUGCUGAUACAAUAGCAUAACUGUAAGGGGGAGAGCACCGUUCCACUCUCUGGCUACACAUGGAAACAAAACAUUGUAUUCUUCCCUGGGCUAUUGGACUAUCUUAAUGUUGACUAGAUGUUAAUGGCAUACUUACUCAAUCGGUUGAUUUACUGCGUUAUCCAUGAGGAGUUUGAUUCUGGUAAUCACACGCAAUUUAAAAACCAGCAAGGCAGCAUCUCAGCGUCGCUGUAGCCAUCGCAUGAAAAUCCCAGUGUUUCCAAGUCCCCUUAAAACAUCAACAUAUAUAUAUAUAUAUUGUUUUAAGAUGGAGCGAUAAAGACAAACGCUGAAAGAAGAGAUGGACGGACUUGUCGCCCACACGCUGGCUUGCUCCGUUAUUUUGUCCAAGCGCGUUCAAAAUCCACUGAGAGCAGUUCGAAUCGAUGAGAUACGUGCUUGAUUGGGUAUCCCUUGUUGUAAUAAUGUACAUCAGAAGGAGGGGAUGGACUCGUGCUGUGCCUCAGCUGCUCUGAGAGCAUGGAUCAGCAGCUAUUGCCAAACACUUUCUUGGCUGCUAAUAGCACUUUUCCCCCUUCUUUGUGUGGCUGAUAGCAGCUAUUUAAAACGACAACAGCGAAUCAGACGAGUCUUCCUUACUGCAAGAUCCCUUCCUCUGUUCAAAUCAUCUUCAAGAUCGAAGACAAUUGGUCCGCUGUCUGCUGCAAAGGUUAUGACUGUGGGCGCAAAUUGUUUUCUCGAAAACCAGAACACGGUCCAAUGGUCAGGGGAGGUCACUGCCUCUCUCUGUGUGCCAGUAACAGACACAAACGGUUAACAACCUGGCACAGCAUCAAAGAGCCAAGGUACUUUUGCCGACUCAUUCUGCAGUAGAAUGAGAGGAAACACCGAAACACCCUUUCGACACAACCUCUGAAAAGGGCUACACGGCUCCACUGCCAGCACUCGAUUGGAAGCAGUUCGUGGCGAUGUCGCAGCGUUGUCGGGGUGAGCCGUAAUGUAUAGUGCUGCAAACAAGAAGGAUUGCAGGAUCCCUGCCUCCCAGCCCGUGGGAGCCCGCGGUGACGCCGGAGCUCAGGUAUAUGGAUGGCCUGAGGAGGUCUCCAUCAUUCAUAAAACAUGCCUCCGUACGCGGCCGAAUUGAUCUUGCAAAAGAAGCAGGGUGGCACAGCUACCACUUCAUUAGUCUUCUCGUGCCACAAAUCACCCUGCACUAGCCUCCAAGGGACCGCAGCCACCCCCGCCGCCACCCUCACCUCAGCUCUCCUCUCCUUAAAGGCCCGGGGAAAAGGGUGCCGGUUAGAUAACAACACCAUGAUAGCAGUGUUAUAACAGCUUGUUAGCAUUGUGUUGAUGUUAGCUCAACAUCAGAGUGAUGGUGCAACGCAGGCAUGGUGAAGGUCUAGCACUGAAUUAGGAAUGAGCUCAGAUCAAGAAGGAGGCGACAUCAGAGCAGCCAGAGCAAAACAAAGUAGAAAACGCUGAAAAGCACAUGAAUCUUGUCAAUGCUAAUUGAUAGCUAGUGGUCAUUUUGAGAUUCCCGGAUUAAAUCAAGUCUCCAUAAAACAAUGUGAAAUAUUGAUGACAUUUACUUUCCAUGGUUCUGAAAUGAAUUGCCCCAUUCCUCUACUAUUUCUGAUGAAUGUUUUUUAUUGCCUUUUUUUGUUGUUGCUGGAGCUGCUUGAGAGAAUUGAGCGUGGCCUUUUCUGCAAAUGUUUCCAGCUCACCAGAGAAACCCUGGAGGACACAACCGUCCAAUUGGCCGUAAUGUUAGUUCCUCUUUGCUUCCCGCUGAAUUUGCUCGCUAAGAUGCAAUUAUAUGAGCAAAAUUAAUAAACCGUAAAGUAUAAGAAUCUACGUCCCGUUUUUUUAUGUUUACCGAUGACAUUGGUUGACAUUAAUAUCGUCAUUAAAGCAAUUAUAUGUGAUGAAGGUAAAUAGUCAAACUUAAUUAGUAAAAGCAUGUUUUCUAUCAAAUUGUCUGUUACACACCUGCAGUGUAUACAGCAGCCUGAUCACUAGAAAAAUACUUUGAUUUUCGAACAUUUGAAAUGGUCUUGAGAACGUCGAUACAGUAUAUGCCUUUGUAGUGUGGUAAUAUUUCAUAUGUGUAUACAGUAUACCUCACAUGUGAGCCGUAAUAAGACUAAGCAAUUAGCCUAUUCAAAUGAUCAUCUGACUCCAUAAAGAUUAUUUAGCAAUAUGCAAGAGACUACAGUUGAAACUGGAAACACUUAUCUUCCUCACUAUCUUUAAGCACCAACUGUCAGAGCAGCUCACAGAAUACUGCACCUGUACAUAGCCCACCUAUAAUUUAGCCCAAACAAC